GAGAUUGGACUAUCAAACAAGCCGUCCGCUAAUCCAUUUAAUGGUUCAUCAGAAGCUAAAUAUUUGAGCUUCUCUGUAGUUCAGCCACCAGAAACAUUUGCACCUCCAUUGCCAUUACCUCAACGUAAACUUCAAUCUCGUACUUCAUCAUUAAAAGGUUUUAAUUCACCAGGGAAUGAAGUUUACAUAAAUAAUCGCCAACCACAACAACAACAACAACAUCCAAAUUAUCAAAAAUUGCACCAAAUUCAAUUUAUCAAUACUCAACCAAAUCUAGGUACGUCUCAAUUAUCUGUAAAUCCUGCAGCUUCAACUAUUAGUGCAUCCAGUUCGUCAAUGUAUGAUCCAUUCGAUUGUGCUUUCGUCACUUCAACUCUUCAAUUAACCGAUGCCUCAAGAACCUCAAAUCUUUCACCUCGACAUGAUGAAAGCUCAAGUCCAAGGCCUGGUUUAACGGAAGGAUCUUAUUCAGCCAGUGAUCACUCAAGAAGCAACAGUAACAUUGGUGAUGAUCGAUCAUCUGAAAUUUCAAUGCAUCGAUCUGGUAAUACUUUAGAAGAAAGCAAACUUAGUCGCACAUCUUUAUCUUAUUCCUCUGAUUCUAUUCCUGCAA
Molecule: long non-coding RNA, 613 nt
Filed under: Lupinus mutabilis
Lineage: Eukaryota; Viridiplantae; Streptophyta; Magnoliopsida; Fabales; Fabaceae
Description: partial ncRNA
Source: RNAcentral